AAGAGUAGGGAAGUGUGUGAGCCAUGCGUCAAGAAAAGCCGCUAUUGUUUUACUUAAGCCCGUACCGUAAACCGACACAGGUGGAUGAGGAGAGAAUCCUAAGGCCGACGGGAGAAGCAUUGUUAAGGAACUCGGCAAAAUGACUCCGUAACUUCGGGAGAAGGAGUGCCAGCGAGAGCUGGCCGCAGAGAAUUGGCCCAAGCAACUGUUUAGCAAAAACACAGGUCUAUGCAAAACCGUAAGGUGAAGUAUAUGGGCUGACGCCUGCCCGGUGCUGGAAGGUUAAGAGGAGAGGUUAGCGGCAACGCGAAGCUUUGAAUUUAAGCCCCAGUAAACGGCGGCCGUAACAAUAACGGUCCUAAGGUAGCGAAAUUCCUUGUCGGGUAAGUUCCGACCCGCACGAAAGGCGUAAUGAUUUGGGCACUGUCUCAACAAUGCACCCGGUGAAAUUGAAAUACCAGUGAAGAUGCUGGUUACCUGCGCCAGGACGGAAAGACCCCAUGGAGCUUUACUCCAGCUUGAUACUGGGAUUCGGUAUUGCAUGUACAGGAUAGGUGGGAGGCUAGGAAGUGAUAACGCCAGUUGUCACGGAGCCGCUGUUGGGAUACCACCCUUGCAGUAUUGGAUUUCUAACCAGCGACCAUGAACUGGUCGGGGGACAAUGUCAGGUGGGGAGUUUGACUGGGGCGGUCGCCUCCGAAAGGGUAUCGGAGGCGCUCAAAGGUUCCCUCAGAAUGGACGGAAACCAUUCGAAGAGUGCAAAGGCAGAAGGGAGCUUGACUGCGACACCGGCGGGUGGAGCAGGUACGAAAGUAGGACUUAGUGAUCCGGUGGUAUAAAGUGGGAUUGCCAUCGCUCAACGGAUAAAAGCUACCCUUGGGAUAACAGGCUUAUCACUCCCAAGAGUUCACAUCGACGGAGUGGUUUGGCACCUCGAUGUCGGCUCAUCGCAUCCUGGGGCUGAAGUAGGUCCCAAGGGUUGGGCUGUUCGCCCAUUAAAGCGGUACGCGAGCUGGGUUCAGAACGUCGUGAGACAGUUCGGUCCCUAUCCGGCGUGGGCGUAGGAUAUUUGAGAGGAGCUGUCCUUAGUACGAGAGGACCGGGAUGGACUGGCCGCUGGUGUAUCUGCUGCAUACCAAAUGCAUGGCAGAGUAGCCAAGCCGGGACGGGAUAAACGCUGAAGGCAUCUAAGCGUGAAGCCCCCCUCAAGAUGAGAUAUCCCUACGUAAGUAGUAAGACCCCUUGAAGACGACGAGGUAGAUAGGUCAGAGGUGGAAGUACAGUAAUGUAUGGAGCUGACUGAUACUAAUCGGUCGAGGGCAUGACCG
This 1328-nucleotide ribosomal RNA is filed under the name metagenome. Its description in RNAcentral is "bacterial LSU rRNA". It matches the Rfam family "Bacterial large subunit ribosomal RNA", at positions 1579 to 2925 of the family's 2925-position model. The record is from RNAcentral.